RNAcentral lists this ribosomal RNA (486 nucleotides) under uncultured bacterium. RNAcentral describes it as "bacterial SSU rRNA". It matches the Rfam family "Bacterial small subunit ribosomal RNA", at positions 15 to 518 of the family's 1533-position model. The record is from RNAcentral.
GAUUCUGGCUCAGGACGAACGCUGGCGGCGUGCCUAACACAUGCAAGUCGAGCGAUGAAGCCCUUCGGGGUGAAUUAGCGGCGGACGGGUGAGUAACACGUGGGUAACCUGCCUUAUAGAGGGGGAUAGCCUCCCGAAAGGAAGAUUAAUACCGCAUGAAAUGUUUUUAUCGCAUGGUAGAAACAUCAAAGGAGUAAUCCGCUAUAAGAUGGACCCGCGGCGCAUUAGCUAGUUGGUGAGGUAACGGCCCACCAAGGCGACGAUGCGUAGCCGACCUGAGAGGGUGAUCGGCCACAUUGGAACUGAGACACGGUCCAGACUCCUACGGGAGGCAGCAGUGGGGAAUAUUGCGCAAUGGGGGAAACCCUGAACCGCAGCAACGCCGCGUGAAUGAAGAAGGCCUUAGGGUUGUAAAGUUCUGUUUUCUGGGACGAUAAUGACGGUACCAGAGGAGGAAGCCACGGCUAACUACGUGCCAGCAGCCGC